Molecule: non-coding RNA, 3601 nt
Organism: Lactuca sativa (garden lettuce)
Lineage: Eukaryota; Viridiplantae; Streptophyta; Magnoliopsida; Asterales; Asteraceae
Source: RefSeq, a predicted model, not a curated record
CUCUCUCUAACUUCUCUCUAGCCUCCCUAAACCCCUGCCAAGUCUACGGAACCUCCCUAGCAGGAGAAGAAAGCCCCGGAGCGCCCGACGACUCCGAGAAGAAAAGCUUUCGGCUCGGAAACGCUGCUCCAGCGAAGCCCGGUUUUUAAUAAAAACCCGCUGUGUUGAUAUGAAGUGACAUCACACUGAGAGAUUUAAAGAGAUGUAGAUCACUAGUGUAAAUAAUUGUAAAGUAGCAGAGGAUGAGAACAAGGAGAGUUCUUCUGAACAAACCAACGACCCAUUGAACUCUGAAUCUGUUGCUUCUAAUCAACCUCCCGUUGGUAAAUACAGACCAUCAUUUCAAGCUAAACAGAGUGUCUGUUGCAAUUGUGCGUGUGGGAAAAACAAGAGACAAGGCAAGGAUAUGCCACCAGGGGCAGGAAGAGACAACUCCACAGUGAAGAAAAGGACAUGUUUUCACUGUGGAACACCUGGACACAUUGCCAGAAGUUGUCCUAAUCGCGCGUAUGUUCCCUACUACGCACAAGGCCGGCAUAACGCGUCAAGAGGGAGACACUCCAAAAGAUACCCCUCAAGGUCACGUUCAGAUAUUGACGACUAGAACGCGCCGAAGGCCAAGAAUUCAACUCCCAAGGCCAAGAAUUUGAAUCCCAAGGGCAAGAAGGAAAUGUCAGCCAACAAGCCCAGUUCAAGAGAUACUACUGUGAAGCCAAGACUAGUUAGGUCAAAGUCAUCUCGGCAGUCGGCUUCAAGUUCCAAAUCAAGUAUUGAGCCACCCAUAGGAUCGAAAAACAAAUGGGUUAAACCCAACUACAAAUGGGUUCCAAAGGCUCACUCUCCCAAAUCUCUUAAUGCUUCUAACGUGUCUACAUCUUCUGUUUGUGACAAGCAGGAUAUGUCAUGGGAGAGAGUAUCGUGCGUCGAUGACAAAGGUUGAACCAGUUUCAAAAUGGACUGGGUUCCGAAGACCAACUAAUCCCGCUCUGUGCUGGAGCAGCUAUGGAGGCAUAUCAUCAAACUUCGGUUUGUUGGUAGUGGCUGCUCCUGACAUAUGAUUGGGGACAUCUCUCAACCGUACAACACUCAGAACAUUGUUUGAGAGCAUGUGUCCUUUUGCGAUCAAGGAAGAAAGGAAGAGAUCACUCAUGGGGUUAGUACAUAACAACAUGAAGAAUUUUCGGAUCUGUUCUGAGAUUAUGCGUGCUGUUCUCAGACCUUCUGGAUGCAAAUUCAAUCGGUGACUUACGGUUUGCGUUUUCUUCUCUAUACUCCUGAGUUUUUCUUAACCUGAUUCGCUUUAAAGACUAAUUUUUGUUUUAGGAUAGUUUAAAUUUGCGCAUUUACUUUCGUUUCUCUCCUAUGCACAAAUUUAGGGGGAGAAAUAAAAACAAAACAAAAAUUAGAAAAUUUAAAAAAAAAAUCCACAAACAUUAGAAAAUCAGAAAAUAAAAAAAUAUAUUGAUUAUGAGUCUGUGUUUGAGGGAGAUGUUUUGGGAAGUGAUAUUAUCAAGUGAUAACAGGCAACCUAAGUCUGCGUAACGUACCCGAAGUUGAAGGGUCUAUGCUCUGACUUGAUGCAUCGGUAGGAAUGAAAAAAUUUAAAUGGACUUGACUAGGGAGAGUUGAACUUAGGAAAUUUAUAGACUUGACAAAUCUUGACCUAGUUAGAUACGUUCAGCCUGACAAUACGACGCUCGGAUAGGUUGAGCAGGGAGAUAUAUAUGGGAAUCUACUCGUCACAUUAAUUGAACCCGUACUUGGAACCGUGGUUUAACUUUUCCUUGAUGUGCGGAUUCUGUCCUUAAUUCUGGUUGGAUGGGGCGACUGGUAAAUUCCGAUAAAUUAGGUCUGUAGAAUAUCAUUUUCUUUCUUUCUGUCUGUUAGCUAUAUGUUUUCUCCUUUGCGCGACUUCUAAUCCGACCUGGUACACAACAUAUGCAACUCUAUCUCUUUGCAGGAUAUAUAUAUAUAUAUAUAUAUAUAUAUAUAUAUAUAUAUAUAUAUGUGUGUGUGAAAUAUAUGUGUGAAAUACUUCUCAUCUGUUAGCCAUAUGCUGCCUCUUUUGCGCGACUUGUAAUCCGACCUGGUACACAGCAUAUGCAAGCUUCUUCUUCUCAACCCCUCUGAAGUAGUUAGCAAUAGAAUUCUGAAUCUCUUCUCUCUCUGAAUGGUUGUCUGCUCACCCGGUGUAAGGAGUACUCUGGAAGUUCUUGAUGGCUGGGGCAUAUCAGGAAGCGGGAAACACGUUCCAGUACACCUAAAAUUGAACUCAUACAGAUUGUCUGUAGAUCUCGCUGCUCAACUUAGGUGGACAACAAUAUCCCUGGUCGUCGUCAGAUGAAUGGUCUUUAAGAUAUAGUAUCUAAGAAAUUAGGAUCAGAUAUAAAUUUUAGGUUUUUAAGUUCACCUUGUCUUGUAACAAAUAGUAUGUCCUAAAUCUGUCACAAAUUUUUCGUGUUUAAGUGGACUACAAUACCGACGAUCGACCAGACAAAGAUGUGAAUAUGGAUGGUACCGACAAGUGGAUAAAGGUUGUCUAAAAACUUUGAUCCCAAAUCUCUCUUAAAGUUAGAUAUCAUUUUAUUUUUGUUAAACUUGUCAUAAUUUCUUCUAAUUUAAAUAUUAGGGGAGAAUUAAAAUUUAAAAUUAAUUAAAAAAAAAUAAAAAAAUUAAUUAAAAAAAUAAAAAAAUAAAAAAAAAAACAAAAAUUAAAAAUCCAAAAAUAGUGUUAUUUCUGUUUUAUUUCUUGUUCAGAAAAAUCAAAAAUCCAAAAAUAUUUUUGUUUCUAUUUUAAUUUUUGUGCUAAGUUUUCUUUUAGUUUUGUUUUUGUCUUGAAAAGUGAUUUCAGGUAUAGAUAAGACUCAUGGAGUUCGUGUUGAAGAUUUUUGAGCCAAAGCCUCGUCCGUGAGCAUUGAAGAAUUCGCAUUCGAAGGAGCAAGAAAUGAAGAUUAUUCUUUCAACAUUCAAUCCUUCAACCCCAGAAGCAAGGUGAAGCUGCAAUUGAAGAUUAUGUGACGGAUUGCAUUGAAGCCUCCUCAAUCAGUCUGCUUCUAUCUUUGUACCUGCUGAAGUGAUCCAGAAGAUUUGUUCUCUCUGAAGAUUCUCAAGUUGAAAGUGCCAUCUUUCAAGAAUCAGUACAAGAAGCCUCCUCACCCAAUGUGCGUUCAAUGCCAAAUUCUGAAAAAAACCUCAAGUGCUCAAGAUGAAGUCAUUCAUUGAAGAUUCAUAUGUUCCUCCUGAUGCUGUGAAGAAAUUGAAGAUAAAUGUUGAAGCCAAGCUCUCAUUGAAGAUUGACAAGAACAGCUAGCUACCUUUUAAGGGGAGCUUGUUGGGUCAUUAAGAAAAGAAAGCUAUAAAACAAGGGGGAGAUUGUUGGGUCAAAAUAUGGUUAUAGUUUACUUUUCUAGGCAAUUGUUUUUCUGUAAUAUUUAUGAAUUUUUAUGGCCUAGUUUACGGCUGAGUUUACGGCCAUAAACACCUUACGGCCGUAAACUCAUUUACGGCCCAUUUGUUUCCGGCCCAUAUUCAAGUAUAAAAAGAGGUGUUAGGGUGAGGAGUAAAGAUUGAUGAACACGAAGAGAGUUUACGGUCUAAAGAG